UGCUUCUGGCCUGUAACAAAAGUCAAAGACACUGGAGAAAUCAUAAAAGAGCCCUCCACGGUAAAGUCAAUGAAAUUGUUCCAGAGCUGGGAAUUAUGUGUCAAGACAAGCUGGUGGUGGCAUCUGCUGCUGUAUUGACUGUCAGUGUUCGCUCAAAUGCUUUGGCCAGUCAAAGAAUCUCAAGUGGAAUAGCCCAAAAGCAUUUGGUAGGAGGAUUUGAAGUUCAAGAGGGACAUUCAUCUUAAAUACACAUAUGUAAGAAGCAUCACUCUCAUUGCGUUUAAGGUAACAAUAACAGAGCAGGACACUGGAAUAAAUGAUCAACAGCAACAUUUUAUAAAGGAAGAAAUAGUUUCUUGAAGGAGGUAAUCCCAUCAGAUUCAUAUUGAACAUCUUCUCAAAUGUGAUCAUCUCUGAAGUUUAUCUGCAUGUGUGUACCUCUGGAAGGUGCUGUCAAUACAUUUGGGAAAAGGGAAUGAGAAGCUUGACUUGUUCUCUUGUAUGCAAUAGAAACUGUGAAAUUGAUCUGUCAAAGACUAAAUUGUGAUCUCUGGCCUCUGGCCUAGAGUUUCUCUUUCUUCUUGCAGGCAGAUUUUCAGUUAAGUAACAAAAGUCAUAUUACAGAUUUUCAAUUCCAAUCUUUAUCCACAUAAGCAAAAGUCAAACAAAUUCUGUGUCUAUACUCCAUUGAUUGCUAAUAUCACAACCCACUUUAUUUGACCAUUUUACCUAAAGUGUAUAAUUGGUUAUGUUUAUAUGUUGAAAAAUAGGCUAUAUUCCUUUUUCAUGAAGUUCCUAAGAUCUUUCAGUUUCCUAAUGAUGCUGUUGCUCUUGACUUCUGAUGGCUUGUUUUACAGAGCUCUUACACUUUCUCUCUACUUUGGACAGAUUGCUUUCUAGGACUGCAGCACAGAUGUCGUCCUAGC
Long non-coding RNA from Callithrix jacchus (white-tufted-ear marmoset), 926 nucleotides. RefSeq lists it as uncharacterized. NCBI's taxonomy places the organism in Eukaryota, Metazoa, Chordata, Mammalia, Primates, Cebidae. The record is from RefSeq and is a predicted model, not a curated record.